AUACGGAGGAUGCAAGCGUUAUCCGGAUUUAUUGGGUUUAAAGGGUGCGUAGGCGGAUGAUUAAGCGUGAGGUGAAAUGCCACUGCUCAACAGUGGAACUGCCUCGCGAACUGGUUGUUUUGAAUGCUCCUGCCGUGGGAGGAAUGUGUGGUGUAGCGGUGAAAUGCAUAGAGAUCACACAGAACACCGAUUGCGAAGGCAUCUCACGAAGGGGUGAUUGACGCUGAGGCACGAAAGCGUGGGGAUCAAACAGGAUUAGAUACCCUGGUAGUCCGCACAGUAAACGAUGAAUACUUGUUUUCGGCGAUAUAAUGUCGGAGGCAAAGCGAAAGCGAUAAGUAUUCCACCUGGGGAGUACGCCGGCAACGGUGAAACUCAAAUGAAUUGGCGGGG
RNAcentral lists this ribosomal RNA (393 nucleotides) under uncultured bacterium. RNAcentral's name for it is "partial 16S ribosomal RNA". It matches the Rfam family "Bacterial small subunit ribosomal RNA", at positions 523 to 918 of the family's 1533-position model. The record is from RNAcentral.